GCUUCAGGCAGCUAUCCCCAAGCCUUCGGAGCACAGCAGGAGUUCCCGCUGCACUCCGAAGGCUUGGGGAUAGCCGCCUGAAGC
Molecule: non-coding RNA, 84 nt
Organism: Podarcis lilfordi (Lilford's wall lizard)
Lineage: Eukaryota; Metazoa; Chordata; Lepidosauria; Squamata; Lacertidae
Source: the annotation of a GenBank genome assembly